CUGACAAGACGAGUGAUCGCCCGGGUUUCCGGGAGGAAAGUCCGAACACUCAUUGCUGUUUACAGCACUAAAAAUAUAGAGGGUAACACCCUUCGGCCGCGAGGCAGAGGUGCGAACAGAAACGCUGGGAUCCGAAAGGGUCCGGCACCCUUCGGGGUGGCUUCUGUGGAAACACAGAAAUGAAACGGCUAAAUCCUUAUUGAGUGCAAGAACAAAGCAGGAGCUUGGGUUAAAUUCAUCUCGAGUUUCUGUUAAAAGUAGUUCGCCAGAGCUAAGGAGUAAUCCUUGGCCCAGACAGAUGAUCACAUAAAACAGAAUUCGGCUUACGGUCUUGUCAGGAUA
RNAcentral lists this RNase P RNA (342 nucleotides) under Patescibacteria group bacterium. RNAcentral describes it as "RNase P RNA component class A". It matches the Rfam family "Bacterial RNase P class A". Rfam says of the family: Ribonuclease P (RNase P) is a ubiquitous endoribonuclease, found in archaea, bacteria and eukarya as well as chloroplasts and mitochondria. Its best characterised activity is the generation of mature 5'-ends of tRNAs by cleaving the 5'-leader elements of precursor-tRNAs. The record is from RNAcentral.